RNAcentral lists this transfer RNA (65 nucleotides) under Gigantidas vrijenhoeki. RNAcentral describes it as "tRNA-Ala". The record is from RNAcentral. Lineage: Eukaryota; Metazoa; Mollusca; Bivalvia; Mytilida; Modiolidae.
AGUACAGUACUUUAAUAAAAAGGAUUGAUUUGCAUUCAGUUAUUGGGUUAUAUGCCCCUAUACUU